RNAcentral lists this ribosomal RNA (253 nucleotides) under uncultured bacterium. RNAcentral describes it as "partial 16S ribosomal RNA". It matches the Rfam family "Bacterial small subunit ribosomal RNA", at positions 524 to 776 of the family's 1533-position model. The record is from RNAcentral.
UACGUAGGGUGCGCGCGUUGUCCGGAAUUAUUGGGCGUAAAGGGCUCGUAGGCGGUUUGUCGCGUCGGGCGUGAAAACUCAGGGCUUAACCCUGAGCCUGCUUCCGAUACGGGCAGACUAGAGGUAUGCAGGGGAGAACGGAAUUCCUGGUGUAGCGGUGAAAUGCGCAGAUAUCAGGAGGAACACCGGUGGCGAAGGCGGUUCUCGGGGCAUUACCUGACGCUGAGGCACGAAGGCCAGGGGAGCAAACGGG